Molecule: ribosomal RNA, 426 nt
Filed under: uncultured bacterium
Lineage: Bacteria
Description: partial 16S ribosomal RNA
Rfam family: Bacterial small subunit ribosomal RNA
Source: RNAcentral
GUCGAGAAUUUUGGGCAAUGGACGAAAGUCUGACCCAGCAAUGCCGCGUGCGGGAUGAAGGUCUUCGGAUUGUAAACCGCUGUCGAGGGGGACGAAAAAUGACGGUACCCCUGGAGGAAGCCACGGCUAACUACGUGCCAGCAGCCGCGGUAAUACGUAGGUGGCGAGCGUUGUUCGGAUUUAUUGGGCGUAAAGGGUCCGCAGGGGGUUGAUUAAGUCUGACGUGAAAUCUCUGAGCUCAACUCAGAAAUUGCGUUGGAGACUGGUCGACUAGAGUGUUGGAGAGGUAAUUGGAAAUCCAGGUGUAGCGGUGGAAUGCGUAGAUAUCUGGAAGAACAUCGAAAGCGAAGGCAGAUUACUGGACAACAACUGACCCUCAGGGACGAAAGCAUGGGGAGCAAACAGGAUUAGAAACCCGUGUAGUCC